AAACUUUCAGCAACGGAUCUCUUGGCUCUGGCAUCGAUGAAGAACGCAGCGAAACGCGAUAAGUAAUGUGAAUUGCAGAAUUUAGUGAAUCAUCGAAUCUUUGAACGCACAUUGCGCCCGCCAGUAUUCUGGCGGGCAUGCCUGUCCGAGCGUCAUUA
RNAcentral lists this ribosomal RNA (158 nucleotides) under Fusarium solani. RNAcentral describes it as "5.8S ribosomal RNA". It matches the Rfam family "5.8S ribosomal RNA". From Rfam's summary of the family: 5.8S ribosomal RNA (5.8S rRNA) is a component of the large subunit of the eukaryotic ribosome. It is transcribed by RNA polymerase I as part of the 45S precursor that also contains 18S and 28S rRNA. Lineage: Eukaryota; Fungi; Ascomycota; Sordariomycetes; Hypocreales; Nectriaceae. The record is from RNAcentral.